RNAcentral lists this ribosomal RNA (253 nucleotides) under uncultured bacterium. Its description in RNAcentral is "partial 16S ribosomal RNA". It matches the Rfam family "Bacterial small subunit ribosomal RNA", at positions 524 to 776 of the family's 1533-position model. The record is from RNAcentral.
UACAGAGGGUGCAAGCGUUGCUCGGAAUUAUUGGGCGUAAAGCGCGUGUAGGCGGCUUUGCAAGUCGGGUGUGAAAGCCCUCAGCUCAACUGAGGAAGUGCGCCCGAAACUGCAGAGCUUGAGUACCGGAGAGGAAGGUGGAAUUCCCGGUGUAGCGGUGAAAUGUGUAGAGAUCGGGAGGAACACCGGUGGCGAAGGCGGGUCUCUGGGCAAUUCCUGACGCUGAGGCGCGAAAGCGUGGGGAGCAAACGGG